UGGGGAAUAUUGCACAAUGGGCGCAAGCCUGAUGCAGCCAUGCCGCGUGUAUGAAGAAGGCCUUCGGGUUGUAAAGUACUUUCAGUCGGGAGGAAGGUGGUAAGGUUAAUAACCUUAUCAAUUGACGUUACCGACAGAAGAAGCACCGGCUAACUCCGUGCCAGCAGCCGCGGUAAUACGGAGGGUGCAAGCGUUAAUCGGAAUUACUGGGCGUAAAGCGCACGCAGGCGGUUGAUUGAGUCAGAUGUGAAAUCCCCGGGCUUAACCCGGGAAUUGCAUCUGAUACUGGCAAGCUUGAGUCUCGUAGAGGGGGGUAGAAUUCCAGGUGUAGCGGUGAAAUGCGUAGAGAUCUGGAGGAAUACCGGUGGCGAAGGCGGCCCCCUGGACGAAGACUGACGCUCAGGUGCGAAAGCGUGGGGAGCAAACAGG
This 429-nucleotide ribosomal RNA is filed under the name Chloroflexota bacterium. RNAcentral describes it as "Chloroflexi bacterium partial 16S ribosomal RNA". It matches the Rfam family "Bacterial small subunit ribosomal RNA", at positions 355 to 776 of the family's 1533-position model. The record is from RNAcentral. Lineage: Bacteria; Bacillati; Chloroflexota.